ACCUGGCCUCUUGGUGAAAUUAUAUUUUGAUCGGAUCACUUAACUAUUCGAGCUGACCCAUGUCAGCUAAGUAAAUCAGUGUGACUGAUUUAGGUGCUCCUAGACCAGCCCUUUUAAUGGUCUCCCUUAAGCUGACUUGGUGAAGCCAGUGGGAGGAUCAUGAUAAGCUGGUUCAUCUGACCUCAUCCUUUAAAUCAUUUAAAUCCUCUAAAAUUAUUAGGUCCUUAAAAUUAUAAAGUUAUGAAGAUAACUGAGUCAUAGCCUCC
RNAcentral lists this long non-coding RNA (266 nucleotides) under Elaeis guineensis (African oil palm). RNAcentral's name for it is "long non-coding RNA (EGUI_LNC060067)". The record is from RNAcentral. Lineage: Eukaryota; Viridiplantae; Streptophyta; Magnoliopsida; Arecales; Arecaceae.